UAGUUUAGCUGCAUUGAGUAUUUUUCUUACUUUUGAAUUGUAGACUUCAAUUUGAUCUCAUAAAUUAUUUAUAAUAUAUUUCCAGUGGAAAAUGGAUAAGUAACAUAAAAAUGUAAAAUCUCUGAAUAAAAUUGUAUAAAAUAAUAUUGAGGGGAAAUUGUCGAAUUUUUGAGUAAAGAAAAAAUUGAGGAACAUUUGAUUUUGCCUUAAUGAUGUGGAGCACAAGCAUUUCCCAAAAUAAUUGUUUUGGCAGCUAAUGGAAAAUCUAUUAAUAUAACUGUGAGAAUAAUUUUGGGGCUAGGAUUGUGAUCUUUUUCACUUAUGCCUAAUCAACCUUAAAAUUUACAUAGACUGAAAGAGUUAAAAUAUAAUGCUCUUUGAUGUUGCAACAUUUUGUAUGAAAAGGAAAUGGUGUUGAUUAUUGAAGAAAAUAGUUACCAAGAGUUUCUGAGAUUUUCAACAUGUAUGCUUACAUUUUAUAUAUUUUAAUUGAUCUUUUGUUUUAUUUCAUGUGGCAUUUUAUCAAAUUAUUGCAAAAAGUGAAUUUUGUUGUGACUAUUUGAAUGAUCCAAGGCAGCUGUUUGUCUGUUUUCAUUGGUGUAUUAUCAAACUCAUCAACCAGUAAAACAAGAUCUUAAAUUGUUCACCAUCUCAAAUCAAGAACCAAUGAUGAGGCAGCUUUUUUAUCUGGUAUUUUAUUGGUGCACAUCACUCAUUUUUGACCAAUGGCCAGGCAGCAUUUAUAUUGGGCAUUUAGUUGGUGCAUCAUUGAUCCAUGAUUGUGUUUAUUGAUGAAAAUGCAUUAAUGAUUAAUUUGUUUGAUAAAAUGAAAUACAUGUGUAUGUACAUAUUGAUAUAGAGCUACCCCUUUUUAUUUCCAUAUCCCAUUUUAAUUUUCCAGAUUCAAUAAAAAUUUAACUGUAUCUCAAUAUACAUUGUACAUUGUAUAAUGCAAGAUAGAACCAUAAACCAUGGGUGUUUCCUGUUUUCCUUUUGAUCAUUAAGUAGGGUUAAUGUAUAGCAACAAAAGUGCAUAUAUGACUUUAAAUCAUUGUCGUCAUCAGUGACAUAUGCUUUGUUGUAUUCAACUUUGCAAACUCCUUUUCCUUACUUAUAUAUUUCCAUUAUCCAUAUCCAUCUUUUAUUGUAUAUCAGCAGAAAAUUAUCGGUGCAACUCUUUAAUGUAUACAGUUAAUUGUAAGAUUUUCACUUAAAUAUAGAUCUUUAAUAUUUUAAAACAUCAUAUAAGGGGAAUUACUCAGAUAAUCUAAAAAAAAGUUUAAGGAAUGUUAAGUGUAUUUACCUAUUUUGUUUUGAAAGAGGAAAACAAGUAAGUCUUGUUUCCCAGAUUUUUAUUUAUGUAAUGUAAGUACAUUUUAAGGGCUACCUUCUCGUAAUUUACAAAAAAUCUAUUGUCUAGUUUUCUAUCUACCCCAGUAUCCACAUAAAAUUUAAGCUUGGAAAAAAGAAACAAUUCUGAAAAAAAAGUGUUCAUGUCGUGUUCAGGUUAAGGAUCAGUGAAUGGACUACAGUGUGUGUUGCAGUUUUGAGAAAAGUAAAACAAAAUAGGUAUUGACUACAUAUUGAUUAUUUUAUUAUUAUUCAGAUGAAGCAAUUCUACUGUACUGCAUAUUGAUAAUUUUAUUAUUAUCAUUCAAAUAAGGAAAUUCUACUGUAUUGCAUAUUGAUUAUGUUUUUUGAUUCUUUUUUAUAAUGAUUUUUAAUCAGAUAAUCAAGUGAUAAUUUUGUUAUUAUCAUUCAAAUAAGGAAAUUCUACUGUACUGCAUAUUGAUAAUUUUGUUAUUAUCAUUCAAAUAAGGAAAUUCUACUGUAUUGCAUAUUGAUAAUUUUGUUAUUAUCAUUCAAAUAAGGAA
This 1874-nucleotide long non-coding RNA is filed under the name Mytilus galloprovincialis (Mediterranean mussel). The record is from RNAcentral. Lineage: Eukaryota; Metazoa; Mollusca; Bivalvia; Mytilida; Mytilidae.